Molecule: small nuclear RNA, 107 nt
Organism: Sarcophilus harrisii (Tasmanian devil)
Lineage: Eukaryota; Metazoa; Chordata; Mammalia; Dasyuromorphia; Dasyuridae
Source: Ensembl
GCUUUUGCUUAGGCAGAGCAUAUACUAAAUUUGGAAUGAUAGAGAGAAGAUGAGCAUGGCUCCUGAGAAAGGAUGACACCCAAAUUAGUGAAGAUACAGAUAGUUAU